This 477-nucleotide ribosomal RNA is filed under the name uncultured bacterium. RNAcentral's name for it is "partial 16S ribosomal RNA". It matches the Rfam family "Bacterial small subunit ribosomal RNA", at positions 29 to 507 of the family's 1533-position model. The record is from RNAcentral.
AUGAACGCUGGCGGCGUGCUUAACACAUGCAAGUCGAACGAGAAAUGGAGACGGAAACCUUCGGGCGGAAGGCUUCAUUUCGAGUGGCGGACGGGUGAGUAACGCGUGGGUAACCUGCCUCAUACAGGGGGAUAACAGUUGGAAACGACUGUUAAUACCGCAUAAGACCACAGCACCGCAUGGUGCGGGGGUAAAAACUCCGGUGGUAUGAGAUGGACCCGCGUUCGAUUAGCCAGUUGGCGGGGUAACGGCCCACCAAAGCGACGAUCGAUAGCCGAUCUGAGAGGAUGACCGGCCACAUUGGGACUGAGACACGGCCCAAACUCCUACGGGAGGCAGCAGUGGGGAAUAUUGCACAAUGGGGGAAACCCUGAUGCAGCGACGCCGCGUGAGUGAAGAAGUACCUCGGUAUGUAAAGCUCUAUCAGCAGGGAAGAAAAUGACGGUACCUGAGUAAGAAGCCCCGGCUAACUACGUG